Molecule: long non-coding RNA, 2532 nt
Organism: Brassica napus (rape)
Lineage: Eukaryota; Viridiplantae; Streptophyta; Magnoliopsida; Brassicales; Brassicaceae
Exons: 2
Source: RefSeq, a predicted model, not a curated record
UAUUAAUUUAUGUAAUUUAGAAUCAUACAUUUAAGUUUAUUUUUUAUUUCAUUCUAAUCACAAUAUAUUUUAAAUUAUACAUAAUCUUAAUAAAAUAUACUUAUGUAUUUAAGACAACAACCAACCUAAAAUGCAAAUAAGAAAAUUAAUCAAAAAUUAAUAUAUUUACAAAAAAUAAAUUUUAUAAUUUAAUUCAAAUAAAUAGACAGAAUCCAAUAUGUCCAAAUGACAAAUAAAUUGACUGUAAAAACAACAAAAUCAAUUAGAUAAAUAUUUAAUUAAAGUAAUAUGAUAUAAUUAAUAUAAAUUAUAACAUACAAAUUAUAAAUUAAUUUAAAAUUAAAAAUAAAUACCAAUUAAUUAUUAUAUUAUAUUUAUUUUAUAAAUAUUUAUGUCCGUGCAAGAGCACGGGAAAAUCACCAAGUCGCAUAUAAUAAUACAUGGCCUCAAAAUCUUGUUUUCUUCUUUACAGUGAUAAUAGGUUCUCCUUAUUCAGUAGAAUUGAACAUUAUGUUUAAGGUUCGUUACAACCAAAUAUAGACAAUUAGACAUAUUACUAUUUCCGCGCCGUCCAAAAAGUGUUCUCACUAGUCAUUUUUCGAUUCUCAAUUACAGUAUUCUAUAAUUAAAUACGUCUGAAAAUAUCUUUAGGAAAAUUACAAAGAUGAAACUUGAAUAUCGUCCCUAACCGCGUCCAGAUACGUACACUGGAAAAUUAAUUAAUAUGAUGUCUACAUCUAUUGCUUUUUCUUUUUCUUGUGUCCAGUAUAAUUUUGGUUUUAUUUAAUUAGUGGGUUUCUUUUCCGAAUUUUGGUAAUUCAAAAAUUGUAACUCAAAAGAUCAUAAAGUUUGGUAGAAACAAUAAUUUAGUAAAUUUCAAAAACAAAUUGAAUGAUUUUUGGAAAUUUUAUUUCAGUUACAUUAAUCGAAUAUUAUAAAGUGAAACUUAAUGGUCCAAACAAUUCGUUUCGGGAUGUUUUUUAUCAUAAAUUUGGAAAAAAAGUUUAAUAUAAUGUUUUGGAAUGUUAUUCACUUAUGAAAAGCAGAUCAUUUCAAGGGUUUGAAUUUUAUCACCGUUUAAACCAAAACACUAAAUGGUUUACUCAUAAUCUCACCAUUCCAUGCCGGAUCCAAUUAAUUUUGGAUCUGUGAAACAAGUCUACAAACAAAAAUAUGGGCCUGAGAGGUAAAACAGUGUUACGAUGGACAGAGGAAGCACAUUCUGUCUCAUUCAUAACUCUUUUUCAUAUUUUUCUGCAUUUCCUCUGUCAUUUCACCUCACAAGUCACAAGUCAUUACAUCUCUCUCUGGUUCUUUCAUCUUACUCUUAUAAUUUUCGUACACGUGUAGUUCUUUAUCCCGUUAGAUCUUUCUCCUUAUGCAAUAAUGCAACACAACCAACACCUACCACAAAUUUUCAGUUCCGGUUCGGUUCAAUUAUUACACGGGCCCCAAUUAUAUAUAGAUAUAUUUGCGUGUGUACCAUGUCAAAAGGAAAAUAUGUAAAUUUGUAUAGUGAUUGGUGGUGAUAGUCUCCAUAAAAUCUAGUUUCAACUAGGGUGCACAUGUUACUGGUCAGACCAUCUUAAAGCUUGUACUAAUUUAAUCAUAUAAUAGCCAUAUUGGUUUGCUAAUCAAUUUACUAUGACAAUUAAAAUAUAGUGAACUAAAGUAACCCACCUUUAAAUCUGUAAUAACAUGUUGACAAAAGAAUCCCUACCUGUUAUAGAAUAAUAAAACAUCUAAUACAAUUUGACAAAAAUUGAAGAUUAUUAAUUUACAAAUGACAUUUGGUUUAUAUUCUUCUUAAAUAAAUGAACAAAGCCGAUCAGGAAUUCAAAACGUAGGUUUCCAGCAAGUCAAUCCAUAUCAAAGGUAGAAAUCACAUAAAUAGCUAGCUUCUUUUAAUAGAAACUAGGUUAUUUUCCUUGUAAUAAUCAGGGGAAAAUUAGUUUUCCAAAUAAUGUCUUACUACGAGAGAAAGAGAACGUAACGUUUACAAGGAGGUUUCUUUUUUUUUGGUCAAGUUUACAAGGAGGCUUCUCUCAGACGAAACGAAUAAAGAGCAAAAUAACAAAGCUGAGAAAAAUCCACAAAAGAAGAAGACAAAUGGAUGAUACUGAGUGUUACGACAAUAAUGGUUGGGGGUGCAAGAGAUAGCAUUUGACUAUUUUCGGCAGAGAAGAAGGAAAAUGAGUUUCAAAACUCGUCAAAUGUCGUUGAUCAGAUUCAUUUACUUAUUAUGCCUUUAAUUAUUUCCUUUUAUUGAGAAAGAUUAGGGUAACACUCUGGGAAGUAGAAGUAGUGGUAUUUGGCAGAAUGGCUCAAGCUCCUUGUCGCAUUGUCACUUUAUACACAUUAUUUUCCUCGCUCUGAAAUUUUAUUUUUGUUGUGUGGUUUCCAUACUUAAUCUAUUAAACUAAUAACUUGUUAUUGCUUCUUGCCAAAAAAACCUUUGUACUAGUUACUUUCAUCAAUUAUGCAAGAACUUGACUGUAAGAGGCCAAGAGCUUUGAGCAGGGUUCGUUUUAA